UGGAGUUUGCACGUGCUUUGUCUCUAGGGGCCACCGUACCCACCCACUUGAAACGUAAAGGGAAAUAGGCGGAGCGGUUAGUGCUACGUUUGUGCAGAUUUACGCAGUUAAAAUUAGCGUUUGUGCUGCUACGGUUUUUGAGUUAUUAAACAUUAUUUUAUAGGUCAUUCAAAGGUCACCAUCCCCCCAGACUGCUCCAAAACGGGCCAAAAUGGUCUACUUUUUAGUGCUACGUUUGUGCUGAUUUGUGCAGGAAAAAUUAGCGUUUGUGCUGCUACGGUUUCUGAGAUAUAAUGAUUUUAAUUAUUACGGCCUACGCUGUAUAACACCAGUGUCUGUGGCAGUGAGUUUCAGCAGCUGUGGAAUUAUGCACUUUUAUAGAAGACUGUCCACUUUUUCUAGGCUUUCUGCAUAUUAACUUUAAUUAGUUUACACUUCAUUAACACAAUUUAUUCAGCGGAAAGGUCGAUAUUUCUUUUGUUACCAGUGCAGAAACGUGCACAAGGUUGUUACCUACGUGUAGAAAACUGAAUAUUCCACAGCACCUAGGCCAGGGAUGUUCAACCUGCGGCUCUAAAGCCACAUGUGGCUCUCCGGCCCCUCCACUGUGGCUCCUAUAAGACCAAAUGCUCCUGUCACUCCAUUUCCCAGGUCAUCAUAGCACUCCCACACACACGGAGCUCUCCUGCAGUAUGCAGAGUAAUGGCCCAUCCUUCCAUGGAAAGCAAUUAAUGCCCUCAAAGUGAACGACUUUCCUUGGAGAACCAGGUUGGAGGGAAAUUCAUUUAGUGGAAAUUCUGUUUGGUUUGCAAUAGAUGGAUUGGAGAGUGGCCUGAGGCAGGUAGACUCAGGUUGGCCAAGUCCUGCUUCCACAGCCGUGCCAAGAUGAGCCAUACCAGACUCUUUGAGGACAGAGAUGGCAGGAGGAACAAAUGGCACUUCCCUUGUCAUCCCUUUGCUGAGGUUUGUUGGAUCACACCAUCUGUGGCAAUGGCUUUCACCAGCUGCAGGACUGGGUUUUCACUGUCUUUCAGAACAGCAUUUUGAAAUGUGGAGCUGUCACAGAAGGCACAACAUAAACACUGAAAAAAUGCAUCAAAAGCACAGUUUCAUCUGCAUGCAGCCAUUCAGUACAUGAAGAGAGAUAGGAAGUUCUCUUCCUUUUUUUUUUUUGGGUGGAACAGCUAGGCCCCUCCAGUUCUCAACUGCAUCCCCAUCAGCCGGAAGAAUGUUUGUGGCAGCAUCAGAUCCCACAAACGGAACAAAUCCGCAUAUUUCCCUCGAUGAAGGAAAGAUGAUGAGCAAUGAAGCGAUCGACUCGAACAGGCAAGUUUUCAUGUUUGAAAAGUCCGUGUUUUAUGUUUUUGAACUCAGCUUCAACAGUGGCUGAACUUGCUGUGAUGCUGGCGCUUUGGAAGAGAGGGACCAUUGUUCCUGUCCAGAGUGGUCUGUCUGGAUCUCAUCCACUGAAUCCACUCUCUCACUUUCCUCCGUCUUUAAAAGAACUGAUCGUGGACUUCAGGAAGACAAGGAAACACUUGACCCCUGUUUCAAUCCAGGGGGUCAGUGUUGACAUUGUGGAGGAUUAUAAAUACC
Oreochromis aureus is the source of this 1596-nucleotide long non-coding RNA. RefSeq lists it as uncharacterized. The record is from RefSeq and is a predicted model, not a curated record. NCBI's taxonomy places the organism in Eukaryota, Metazoa, Chordata, Actinopteri, Cichliformes, Cichlidae. The transcript has 8 exons.